GAUGAACGCUGGCGGCGUGCCUAAUACAUGCAAGUCGAGCGAACAGACGAGGAGCUUGCUCCUCUGACGUUAGCGGCGGACGGGUGAGUAACACGUGGAUAACCUACCUAUAAGACUGGUAUCACUUCGGGAAACCGGAGCUAAUCCCGGAUAAUAUAUUGAACCGCAUGGUUCAAUAGUGAAAGACGGUUUUGCUGUCACUUAUCGAUGGAUCUGCGCCGCAUUGGCUAGUUGUUAAGUUAACGGCUUACCAAGGCAACGAUGCGUAGCCGACCGGACAGGGUGAUCGGCCACACGGGAGCUGAGACAGGGUCCAGGCGCCUACGAGAGGCAGCAGUAGGGAAUCUGCCGCAAUGGGCGAAAGCCUGACGGAGCAACGCCGCGUGAGUGAUGAAGGUCUUCGGAUCGUAAAGCUCUGUUAUUAGGGAAGAACAAAUGUGUAAGUAACUAUGCACGUCUUGACGGUACCUAAUCAGAAAGCCACGGCUAACUACGUG
This 497-nucleotide ribosomal RNA is filed under the name uncultured bacterium. Its description in RNAcentral is "partial 16S ribosomal RNA". It matches the Rfam family "Bacterial small subunit ribosomal RNA", at positions 28 to 507 of the family's 1533-position model. The record is from RNAcentral.